This 470-nucleotide ribosomal RNA is filed under the name uncultured bacterium. RNAcentral describes it as "bacterial SSU rRNA". It matches the Rfam family "Bacterial small subunit ribosomal RNA", at positions 63 to 548 of the family's 1533-position model. The record is from RNAcentral.
CGAAGUUAGAGAGAGCUUGCUUUUUCUAACUUAGUGGCGAACGGGUGAGUAACGCGUGAGGAACCUGCCUCAAAGAGGGGGACAACAGUUGGAAACGACUGCUAAUACCGCAUAAGCCCACAGCUCCGCAUGGAGCAGGGGGAAAAGGAGCAAUCCGCUUUGAGAUGGCCUCGCGUCCGAUUAGCUAGUUGGUGAGGUAACGGCCCACCAAGGCGACGAUCGGUAGCCGGACUGAGAGGUUGAUCGGCCACAUUGGGACUGAGACACGGCCCAGACUCCUACGGGAGGCAGCAGUGGGGAAUAUUGCACAAUGGGGGAAACCCUGAUGCAGCGACGCCGCGUGGAGGAAGAAGGUCUUCGGAUUGUAAACUCCUGUUGUUGGGGAAGAUAAUGACGGUACCCAACAAGGAAGUGACGGCUAACUACGUGCCAGCAGCCGCGGUAAAACGUAGGUCACAAGCGUUGUCCGG